This 738-nucleotide ribosomal RNA is filed under the name Priestia flexa. RNAcentral's name for it is "bacterial SSU rRNA". It matches the Rfam family "Bacterial small subunit ribosomal RNA", at positions 682 to 1412 of the family's 1533-position model. Lineage: Bacteria; Bacillati; Bacillota; Bacilli; Caryophanales; Bacillaceae. The record is from RNAcentral.
UGAAUUGCGUAGAGAUGUGGAGGAACUCCAGUGGCGAAGGUCGGUUUUUUUGGGUCUGUAACUGACGUUGAGACGCGAAAGCGUGGGGAGCAAAACAGGAUUAAGAUACCGUGGUAGUCCACGGAGUAAACGAUGAGUGCUAAGUGUUUAGAGGGUUUCCGCCCUUUAGUGCUGCAGCUAACGCAUUAAGCACUCCGCCUGGGGAGUACGGUCGCAAGACUGAAACUCAAAGGAAUUGACGGGGGCCCGCACAAGCGGUGGGGCAUGUGGUUUAAUUCGAAGCAACGCGAAGAACCUUACCAGGUCUUGACAUCCUCUGACAACUCUAGAGAUAGAGCGUUCCCCUUCGGGGGACAGAGUGACAGAUGGUGCAUGAUUGUCGUCAGCUCGUGUCGUGUUAUGUUGGGUUAAGUCCCGCAACGAGCGCAACCCUUGAUAUUAGUUGCCAGCAUUUAGUUGGGCACUCUAAGGUGACUGCCGGUGACAAACCGGAGGAAGGUGGGGAUGACGUCAAAUCAUCAUGCCCCUUAUGACCUGGGCUACACACGUGCUACAAUGGAUGGUACAAAGGGCUGCAAGACCGCGAGGUCAAGCCAAUCCCAUAAAACCAUUCUCAGUUCGGAUUGUAGGCUGCAACUCGCCUACAUGAAGCUGGAAUCGCUAGUAAUCACGGAUCAGCAUGCCGCGGUGAAUACGUUCCCGGGCCUUGUACACACCGCCCGUCACACCACGUGGAUU